This 381-nucleotide long non-coding RNA is filed under the name Theobroma cacao (cacao). Its description in RNAcentral is "long non-coding RNA (TCAC_LNC001800)". The record is from RNAcentral. Lineage: Eukaryota; Viridiplantae; Streptophyta; Magnoliopsida; Malvales; Malvaceae.
AAAACUGUUAUUAAAGCCUUGCGGGGUUUCAGUUGGCAUUUUGGGUAAUGAAUGUCUAUCGAAACAUCGCGACGAUUGUCACGGGCUGGAGGAGAGUAUCGGGUUGUGACAUUGUGGCCGGAGAUAAGAACCAGCCAUGAGAUAAGGAUGAAAAGUCAAAGCUUCCUUUGGAAGCUUUGACCAAUUUAAUGCCAAAAUUACCAUUUUGCCCUUCAAGGUUUUCACCCUUUUUAAUUGUAUCAUUUCACAAUCUUUUCAUUCCAAUUUCUUUUCAUUUUUUUUCCUUAACACUUGUAUCAGUAAAAUAUCAAAUUCAUGCUUCAAUGCGGUAUCACCGAAAUAUUUAAAUAUUUACUUACCCGAACUAGCUUUAUUUAAUAA